RNAcentral lists this ribosomal RNA (484 nucleotides) under uncultured bacterium. Its description in RNAcentral is "partial 16S ribosomal RNA". It matches the Rfam family "Bacterial small subunit ribosomal RNA", at positions 30 to 507 of the family's 1533-position model. The record is from RNAcentral.
AUUGAACGCUGGCGGCAGGCCUAACACAUGCAAGUCGAGCGGAUGAAGGGAGCUUGCUCCUGGAUUCAGCGGCGGACGGGUGAGUAAUGCCUAGGAAUCUGCCUGGUAGUGGGGGAUAACGUCCGGAAACGGGCGCUAAUACCGCAUACGUCCUGAGGGAGAAAGUGUGGGAUCUUCGGACCUCACGCUAUCAGAUGAGCCUAGGUCGGAUUAGCUAGUUGGUGGGGUAAAGGUCUACCAAGGCGACGAUCCGUAACUGGUCUGAGAGGAUGAUCAGUCACACUGGAACUGAGACACGGUCCAGACUCCUACGGGAGGCAGCAGUGGGGAAUAUUGGACAAUGGGCGAAAGCCUGAUCCAGCCAUGCCGCGUGUGUGAAGAAGGUCUUCGGAUUGUAAAGCACUUUAAGUUGGGAGGAAGGGCAGUAAGUUAAUACCUUGCUGUUUUGACGUUACCAACAGAAUAAGCACCGGCUAACUUCGUG